AAUAGGCUAAUUAAGAGCGUAAGGGGAAUGCCUUGGCUCUCAGAGGCGAUGAAGGACGUGAUAAGCUGCGAUAAGCUUUGGGGAGUGGCACAAACACUUUGAUCCGAAGAUUUCCGAAUGGGGCAACCCGGCAUAUUGAAGAUAUGUCACACUGUAAAGUGAGCAAACCUGGUGAACUGAAACAUCUAAGUAACCAGAGGAAUAGAAAACAAAAGUGAUUCCGCUAGUAGUGGCGAGCGAACGUGGAACAGCCCAAACCUAUGUUGUUACGGCAAUAUAGGG
RNAcentral lists this ribosomal RNA (282 nucleotides) under uncultured Flavobacteriaceae bacterium. RNAcentral describes it as "partial 23S ribosomal RNA". It matches the Rfam family "Bacterial large subunit ribosomal RNA", at positions 1 to 296 of the family's 2925-position model. The record is from RNAcentral. Lineage: Bacteria; Pseudomonadati; Bacteroidota; Flavobacteriia; Flavobacteriales; Flavobacteriaceae.